This is a ribosomal RNA of Bos indicus x Bos taurus (hybrid cattle), 119 nucleotides long. The record is from Ensembl. NCBI's taxonomy places the organism in Eukaryota, Metazoa, Chordata, Mammalia, Artiodactyla, Bovidae.
GUCUCCGGCCAUAUCAGCCUGAAGGCGCCCGAUCUCGUCUGAUCUCGGAAGCUAAGCAGGGUUGGGCCUGGUUAGUACUUGGAUGGGAGACCACCUGGGAAUACCGGGUGCUGUAGGCU